UAAGUUAAUAUUAUUUUAAUCAAAUAAAUGUUUUUUAAAGAAAAAAUAAAUGGCAAUAAAAGUACUUCUCUCUCUAUAGUAAAAAGUAAUAAAAUAAAAAUUGAAAAGAGAGAAAUCAACUUUAUAAAUUGAAGAGAGAUAAUUAUUUUUUAUUUAAAAAAUCUUAAUUAAAAUGUCUUUUGAAAUUUUAAAUCUUGACGUGACUCUUAAAAUAAGUAAUAAAAUCUUAUUUGUCCUUCAAUAAUGUCAUAACUUUAAGCCAGCUUAAUUUGGUGGCUUUUGUAUUGAUUAUAGGGUUACAUUCAUUAACUAUUAACUGAACAAUUACUACCCACUAAGAAUAAUUAUUUCCAUAAUACCCAUUUUUUUUCUUCAAUCCCAAUUUGUUGAAAUCUCGUACCAAAAGGAUGAGUAACGCUAUUCAUCCAAUUCCCAUGUGGUGUCAUUUUCACCCGUUGCCUAGAUUGUAUUUAGCGUAUAUUGUUGAUUUGUAGUGUCAAUUAUAACUGACUUUGACCUAUUAUUAAAGUGUUUAGAAUCUAACGGCUGGACCUCAUAGAAGCAAAUUAGGGAGAAUGUUGCUCCAGGGCCAACAUAGUUGGAUCCCGGCAGAACCUGAAAUAGUGUCACUGUAAUGUCAAUGUUAAAAAUGAUUAUUAUAAAAACAAAUAUUUAACAUCAAAUAAUUGUAGGGGCACAAAAACAAUCGAACAAUUAAAGAAAGAAACCAAUGAAAAUAGCAACAAUCUUAUUCGUUGGCAAGCCGGUAAAUAAAAAUUCAGUCUCAAAUUGGAGUUCCAUGUACUAUAAAGUGGAAUACGAAUCAUUACAUGUGAAAAUAUUAAUAAUUAAAAUGCUGGGUAAUUCAUAUCAAAUUGGAAGUUUCCAUAUGGUAUUGUCGUUUAAUGCCUUCUAAACCACAAUUAGUAUGGAACGAAAAUGCUAGUUGACAAUGGAUUCGAGUAUAAGUUUGACUGAUAUUGAUUUGUAAACUUAAUUUUCAAAUUAAUAAUUUGGAAGAAAUAAUUUGUUUUAGUGUGGAAUCCAAAUUUUAAGUAUAUUCAUCAAACACUUUGAUAUUUUGAUUUUAAUAGUAUUGUCGCAGACAAUAAAAUAAAGUAAAUAAAGUGUAGGGUCCAAAACGAUACCAUCCGUAAUUCAUGGAGUUAACAUUACAUUGCCCAUGACUAUCUACGGUUGAAAAUAAAACAAAGCAAUAAAAAUACUUUGAUAUUUUGAUUGUAAUAGUAUCGUUGCGGACAAUAAAAUAAAGUGUAGGGUCCAAAGCAAUACCAUCUGUAAUUACUAGAGUUAACAUUGCAUUGCCCAUGACUAUCUAUGGUUGUUAAUAAAUUUAACUAGUUUAAUUAGUAAAAUCUCUUGAUGUUAUGUAAAAAAUUUAAAGUUUAAAACUUUACUCAUUUAGGUAGAAAGAAAAUUGAAUUACCACUAAAUCAUUAAUUAAAAAAUAAAAUCGAAAAUUAAAUUACCAUUAAACUAUUAAUUAAAAAAAUUAAAUAUGACAAAUUGAAUUACCAUUAAAUCAUUAAUUAAAAUUUUUAAAUACGGCUUGAAGAAAAUCUAUGCAUUGUUAUAUAAGCAAUUGUUGUCUUCGCAUAUUUUUAUUCGCCUACUUUACGGCUUAAAAAAAAAAAUUGUAAAAUUUCAGUCAACCAAAAUACACAUUACAAUAGAGCCACAAUUUUAGAAAAUACAUUGAAUAUCAUCAAUUUGUAAGAGAUUUUUUGCAAUUACUAAAGUUGUACAUAUAUAUGCAUAGUUCAAAUUUCAAGCCAGAAGUGUCAACGCCACAUAUUUUAAUAUUUAUUUAUUUUUGUAAUUUGACAGUCUACAACCAAUGAUCCUCUUAAAAAAAUAAAACUGAGAGCGAAUAUUCACGAUUUUUACCCUUUUCACCACAUUAUUUACAUAAAUGUUAACCUGAAAAUAAUCAUGGAGAAGACAUAGAAAGUGAAAAGAAAAUUGCUUUUUCAUGUAUCAUGUUUAUAUUCUCAGGAAUUGUAAUUGAGGUGUCUAUGAUUGUAUAACCCGAAAAUCCUACAAGCAUGGAAAUUUCAACCAAUAAGCACGAUCGUUUCAAAACAUGCCUAAAAACGUAUAAUUUUUAUUUUCUUCUUUUAAUUUUCUCAGUUCUCGCCUUCAAAUUUUGUUGGAAACUUGGAAUCUUAUCUCAAUUUACUGCUGCGAACAGUAUUGAAAUUGUUGCACUGAUUUCGAUCCAUACAUAUCAUUGGAGACAUGAAUAACGCUGCACGGUGAUUUGCUUUUCCCAAUUUCAUUAACAAGCUCGAUAACUUGCUACGUAACCACCAAUUGCUCCCUUUCACUAUGAAAUAUUUGUUUAGUGCUAUCAACCUGCUCUUUACUGAAUCACUCGGCUAGAGCCCGAAAAUGAUUCGAACCCCAAAAAUACAUUGCACGAGUUUAAUUUAAUUUUUUUUUUUUAAUUUGAGUGAAGGCAGAAAAAAAAAAAAUCUGCUGUUUACUGGCUUUGUUCGUACACAGCGCGCAUGCAAGCAUACGUGUCCAAUCUAGGGCCUUCAGAUCUUGUUAGCUCAGGCCCAACAAUAAUUGUACUCGAAGACAAAAAUCAGGCUACGUUAUACAACACUGGGCCUGAAAUAAGUUCAUCGUAGACUUGGCCUGAAAUAAGUAACUGCCCUAAACUAGAGAGUAACAAAUAAGCUUAUGGUUCAAAAAAUAAAUUUUAAAAAAUGAAAAUUAGAUAUGCGUUUUCUAAUCUAAACGCGAUAAACAUAAGUUUAUUAUAUUAUAAGAUUUUCCCCUGCAACCAGUAGGCAGAGAUUGGGCCCGAAGCGGUGAUUUUUUUUUUAGGUAAUUUUUAAAAAAUUUUCCUGAGGUUUGGGUUUGUUGUAAUUAGAUGGCGAGAAUUUAUUUAUUUGUAAAAAAUUCCCUACCAUCAGUUAAUUUUAACAUUGACCAUUAGUUGACUGUGCAAAGAUAAUAUUACCCUUAACAACAGUUUGUAGACUGAAAUAACUAAAAAAAAUUAAAAUUAUUGGCGUAAAAAGCACAAACCCUAUUUUUUGACAAUUUUAUCUUUGUCAAUUCUAAAGAUUUACAAUAUCAUAGGUAAAGAUUAUAACUAUUUCAUUUUCAAGUUUUUAAUUUUAUCUUUUUUAUAGGAACUUUAAGAAAAUAUUAAUAAUUUAAAGAGAAUUUUUUAAUUUUUUAAUUUUAUCUUUCUUGUAGGAACUUU
Molecule: long non-coding RNA, 3241 nt
Filed under: Citrus x clementina
Lineage: Eukaryota; Viridiplantae; Streptophyta; Magnoliopsida; Sapindales; Rutaceae
Description: Citrus clementina (C. clementina) long non-coding RNA (CCLE_LNC003028)
Source: RNAcentral